RNAcentral lists this ribosomal RNA (633 nucleotides) under Cortinarius sp. LM71. Its description in RNAcentral is "eukaryotic LSU rRNA". The stretch from base 248 to 401 matches the Rfam family "5.8S ribosomal RNA". The record is from RNAcentral. Lineage: Eukaryota; Fungi; Basidiomycota; Agaricomycetes; Agaricales; Cortinariaceae.
CAUUAUUGAAAUAAACUUGAUAAGUUGCUGCUGGUUCUCUAGGGAACAAUGUGCACACUUGUCAUCUUUGUAUCUUCACCUGUGCACCUUUUGUAGACCUGAUUAUCUCUCUGAAUGCUUUAUAGCACUCAGGAUUGAGGAUUGACUUCUUGUCUCUUCUUACAUUUUCAGGUCUAUGUUUCUUCAUAUACCCCAAUGUAUGUUUAUAGAAUGUAAUUAAUGGGCCUUUGUGCCUAUAAACCUUUACAACUUUCAGCAACGGAUCUCUUGGCUCUCGCAUCGAUGAAGAACGCAGCGAAAUGCGAUAAGUAAUGUGAAUUGCAGAAUUCAGUGAAUCAUCGAAUCUUUGAACGCACCUUGCGCUCCUUGGUAUUCCGAGGAGCAUGCCUGUUUGAGUGUCAUUAAUAUUAUCAACCUUUUGGGUUGGAUUUGGGUUUGCUGGCCUCUAUCAGGUCAGCUCCCCUUAAAUGCAUUAGCAGACAACAUUUUGCCAAAUGUUCAUUGGUGUGAUAAUUAUCUACGCUAUUGACAUGAAGCAAAGGUUCAGCUUCUAACUGUCCAUUGACUUGGACAACUUUAUUAAUGUGACCUCAAAUCAGGUAGGACUACCCGCUGAACUUAAGCAUAUCAAUA